AACUCUUAGCGGUGGAUCACUCGGCUCGUGCGUCGAUGAAGAACGCAGCUAGCUGCGAGAACUAAUGUGAAUUGCAGGACACAUUGAUCAUCGACCUUUGAACGCACCUUGCGGCCCGGGUUCCUCCCGGGGCCGCCUGUCUGAGAGUCG
The sequence is a ribosomal RNA, 150 nucleotides long. It matches the Rfam family "5.8S ribosomal RNA". From Rfam's summary of the family: 5.8S ribosomal RNA (5.8S rRNA) is a component of the large subunit of the eukaryotic ribosome. It is transcribed by RNA polymerase I as part of the 45S precursor that also contains 18S and 28S rRNA. The record is from Ensembl.